GAACAGAAUCAGCAAGGUGUAGUUCAUGCACCUUCUGCUUCAGGCAACAAUGUUGAGCAAAGUGAACAAGUUGUUGCUUCUGCACCUUUUGAUGCAGAACACAAUGUUGAGGAAAGUGAGAAAGUUGUUGCUUCUACACCUUGUGUACCUUCUGUGUCAGGUCACAAUGUGAAGCAAAGUGAGCAAGAAGCUGGUUAUCCCCCUGAUUCAGAACACAAUGUCGAACAGAAUCAGCAAG
Molecule: long non-coding RNA, 238 nt
Filed under: Linum usitatissimum (flax)
Lineage: Eukaryota; Viridiplantae; Streptophyta; Magnoliopsida; Malpighiales; Linaceae
Description: long non-coding RNA (LUSI_LNC000602)
Source: RNAcentral